GACGAACGCUGGCGGCGUGCUUAACACAUGCAAGUCGAACGGAAAGGCCCUGCUUUUGUGGGGUGCUCGAGUGGCGAACGGGUGAGUAACACGUGAGUAACCUGUCCUUGACUUUGGGAUAACUUCAGGAAACUGGGGCUAAUACCGGAUAGGAGCUCCUGCUGCAUGGUGGGGGUUGGAAAGUUUCGGCGGUUGGGGAUGGACUCGCGGCUUAUCAGCUUGUUGGUGGGGUAGUGGCUUACCAAGGCUUUGACGGGUAGCCGGCCUGAGAGGGUGACCGGCCACAUUGGGACUGAGAUACGGCCCAGACUCCUACGGGAGGCAGCAGUGGGGAAUAUUGCACAAUGGGCGGAAGCCUGAUGCAGCAACGCCGCGUGCGGGAUGACGGCCUUCGGGUUGUAAACCGCUUUCGCCUGUGACGAAGCGUGAGUGACGGUAAUGGGUAAAGAAGCACCGGCUAACUACGUG
This 468-nucleotide ribosomal RNA is filed under the name uncultured bacterium. RNAcentral's name for it is "partial 16S ribosomal RNA". It matches the Rfam family "Bacterial small subunit ribosomal RNA", at positions 28 to 507 of the family's 1533-position model. The record is from RNAcentral.